UUAGCUGAAGACCAUCUUGCUAAUUACCAGGUGGCACCUGCCACCUUAUAUCUAGGCAGCUGACUGCAUGUCUCCCAAUUCUCCACCUGUUGCGGAGAACCUACUUGGUUGUAGUGGCGUGGGAGCAGCAGGCUGUUUGGGCUGGUGCUGUCCUGUUGGGUGUUUGAGGAACAAUCCUGAGUAAGUUUGUCUUGUGGUUCAACGGUGAGUCAUUUGCUCUGAUUUGAGCUUCUGCUUAAGGCAGCCUCGUAUCCAAUUCAGUGUAGAACUGUGGCCGUGCCCCUCCUCCACAUGCAGGGGACAACUGUACUUCAGCGAACCCGGAACUGGUGGUUGACCAUCUUCAAGCUUGCUGCUUCCAUGCCACCUGAUGCUGUCGCCCUGUCUUCUGCUGCUUAUGUUUUAUGUUUGUACCGUGUUUUGUUCUCGUCUUGAAUGUUUGAGUGAAUGCAACCCCCUCUCUGUGCAUACGUGCAGGUUGCGACCUUAAAGCUGACCAGGUGGUUGCGCUCAUGCAGCCUGACCUCCAGGAGCUGUUGGGCCAAAGUGGGUGGCAAGCUGACUCCCAGGUGGUGGUUUCCCUUCACUGUCCUUUGUAAUUGCUGUGCAUCAAGUGUGUGCUGUGUUCACCUGUGUUGUGCUGUGCCUGGAUCCUACCCCUUGUUAGCCUCUUGCUAGCCCUGGUGAGCCCACUGCCCUGUUCCCGGCCUAUUGGACCUUGUGCAAUAUCUGUGUGCAACCUGCUUGUAUGUGGGUGUAUCUUGUAUAUGAUUAGUCUCUUGUGGUUGUAUUCCUGUUUGUGUUUUCUCUGUGCAGUCCAUAAUGGACCUGUUAUUGUUAUGUGUCAAUCAAUUUGUCAUUUUAGAACCAUGUCUCUAGUCUCAGUGUUGCAAACAUGUGUGCCCAAAGGGUAGUGAUGGGCAAAUGAAGCUUUGGUGAACCACUGAACCACAGCAGUGUGAACCUAGCGACACUAGCUGAAAAGCAAAAAGAUGGC
This is a long non-coding RNA of Alosa sapidissima (American shad), 997 nucleotides long. RefSeq lists it as uncharacterized. The record is from RefSeq and is a predicted model, not a curated record. Lineage: Eukaryota; Metazoa; Chordata; Actinopteri; Clupeiformes; Clupeidae. The transcript is spliced from 3 exons.